Phymastichus coffea is the source of this 1823-nucleotide RNA transcript. RefSeq lists it as uncharacterized. NCBI's taxonomy places the organism in Eukaryota, Metazoa, Arthropoda, Insecta, Hymenoptera, Eulophidae. The transcript is spliced from 4 exons. The record is from RefSeq and is a predicted model, not a curated record.
AUUUUUAUACAUUGAAUGAUAUUGCUCUAUGAUAAGCAUGCAUACUUAUUAGUAACCAUUUAUAUAGUUUUUCUGUAUACAUGCAGUAUUAAACAAUGUAAUAAUAAGAAGUUUCUAUAUUUUUACAUAUAUACUAUUCAAUGCAGGAAAAAAUUUAAGAUUGUAGAGCUUGAGCACAGAGUACGUCAGCACGUGGGUUGAAACUAUAUUGAAAAGUAAUGGUAAACAACACGCGUGUGAAGUAACCUAACCUCAAAACUGUUACGCUCAACAGUCAUUUUCCAUAUCAUGCCGGUGGUACGUGAUAUUCUGUCUAAUACUGAUAAAAGUACUUUUUUAUCCACACUUUGUGAAUAAUUUUUCAUUAAAAGACCAUAAGGCAUUGUGUAGUAACAUAUAUGCCUUAGACAAUCAGUAAAAAGAGUUUUACACGUUAUGAAAUUGUAAUUUGAGGUUGACUUUGCCAAAAGAUUUAUUUUAUAAUAAAUAAUAAGUUUAUUAAUGCUCUGUGAAUAAAGUAAAAAUGAAUGAAGUAAUACAUUGGUGGAAUAUUACAAAAUGUUUGUCAAAAUUCGACGGAAAAGGAGCUAAUAGCUAUAGAAUGUACUUUGUAGAACGCUGUAGACGAAUGUCUCAAGAACUAGAACUACCAAAAAAAAUUUUUGGACCAUCAGUUAUGUGUUCGCACUGUGGUUCUCUUUGGUCAAAAAAUGAAUCUCAGACUAGAAUUAAACCAGCUAACGCUUGCUCAAAAUCAGUAAAACAAAUAAUUAGGUCAAGUGCUGAAGACAAUAGACUAUCCAGGUUUAGAGCGACUUUACUAAAGAAAAGCUUAAAAAACAGGAUGAACAAAGUGGUGAAAAAGUGUUCAGUAUGUUCUAAAGAUACUGAAAUCAGUAUUACUAAACCAAAAAGGCCAAAGCUUGUUGAAGAAAGUACAGAAAAAAAUGACAACACAGCUCAUCAUAAGAAAAAAAAAAAGAAAGUAAAAGAUAAAAGUGCUGGUUUAGACUUAUCGGGUUUCAAUACACCCGAUGCAAGAGAGAAAAAAAAAAUACCUUUGGUUUCAACACCUAUUACAGUAAAAGUAAAAAAACCAUACAAAAGAGAAAUAACACCACUACAAAAAGUGAAAAAAUUAAAUAUAAAUAAAUUAAAUAAUAUUCUAAACAACAGUAAAGCUAAAAAAUCAAAGAGUAGUCUAAGCAAUUUUCUUGAAGAACUUUAUUAACUAAGAAAAAGGUCAAUGCAGUAUAUAUCUACAAAUUGAUGUGAGAAAGAGAAAUCAAGCCGUUCAUGGAGAAGACGUGGCUUGAAGAGGAUAACAAGGACAAAAAAAGAAGCAAUGAGACAGUGAGGGAUCACCUGAAUGCAUGCGUCGAGAUCGCGACCGUACCAAUUGGCCGGUAACUUCAAACCCGCACGAAGUACACAUGCCUCGAGGUCAUCGAUUGUCAGCAAAGCUAAUGGUUCGAGAUGGGACUCGCGCACCUUGCGCACCAGGUACUCGAUAUAGUGGAUUCUGAGUUUUACCAUUCAAAAAAGCAUUUUUAUCGUUUCAAUGAAUUAUUGAUGACUUAACUAUGACAUUAUACUGACGUUUGAAAAUCUUUGUUUUAUUUGACAAAUGAGCUUUUAUUUUUAUAAAAUGAUUAUGAACUUUCGGACGUCGCUUGAUGUCUAAUUAAAGUUCUCUGGUAAAUCAUGAAAUUAUUUUUUCCACCAGAACUGUAAAUUGUUAUCCGAAAAUUUACAAUGUAUGUAUUAUGAAAAAGAGGAAUUUAAUUUUGUAUUUAUACAAUAAGAAACAAUCUAUAUUUGUU